GGCUCAGUGGUCCAAUGAUAAAACGCUCGUCGUGGAGCUAGAGAGUCCUGGGUUCGAUUCCCAAUAUGGUCG
Molecule: transfer RNA, 72 nt
Filed under: Schistosoma japonicum
Lineage: Eukaryota; Metazoa; Platyhelminthes; Trematoda; Strigeidida; Schistosomatidae
Description: tRNA-OTHER
Source: RNAcentral